AUGAAGCUGGAGGAGUCCUACAAGGGUGAGCUCACUCUAGCACAAUUAGGCUGCACCCUCAAAUGGUUCGGCAUCAAGGGCACCAGGAUUUGCGAGGUGCUCCCUAACCUCCCCAUCACCCUCCUCUUACAACUGCUCAUCAAGACGCCGCCCUGCCAAGGCUUCGCCCAUGGGUGCCGCGGGAGCACGCGUGGAUACAACCACCUCGCGCCCCAGUGGCUUACGCCACGCCCCUGGACGGUGGCACUUCCCCGCGCCUCAGCAGCUUCACAACAACACACGACAGGGAAUUAG
This 294-nucleotide ribosomal RNA is filed under the name Triticum aestivum (bread wheat). RNAcentral describes it as "partial small subunit ribosomal RNA". Lineage: Eukaryota; Viridiplantae; Streptophyta; Magnoliopsida; Poales; Poaceae. The record is from RNAcentral.